RNAcentral lists this ribosomal RNA (271 nucleotides) under uncultured bacterium. RNAcentral's name for it is "partial 16S ribosomal RNA". It matches the Rfam family "Bacterial small subunit ribosomal RNA", at positions 524 to 794 of the family's 1533-position model. The record is from RNAcentral.
UACGUAGGGAGCAAGCGUUGUCCGGAAUUACUGGGCGUAAAGGGUGCGUAGGCGGUCAGGCAAGUCAGAUGUGAAAUCCCCGGGCUUAACUCGGGUGGUGCAUUUGAAACUGCUUGACUUGAGUGCAGGAGAGGAAAGCGGAAUUCCUAGUGUAGCGGUGAAAUGCGUAGAUAUUAGGAGGAACACCAGUGGCGAAGGCGGCUUUCUGGACUGUAACUGACGCUGAGGCACGAAAGCGUGGGGAGCAAACAGGAUUAGAUACCCCAGUAGU